This 490-nucleotide ribosomal RNA is filed under the name uncultured bacterium. Its description in RNAcentral is "bacterial SSU rRNA". It matches the Rfam family "Bacterial small subunit ribosomal RNA", at positions 20 to 507 of the family's 1533-position model. The record is from RNAcentral.
UGGCUCAGAUUGAACGCUGGCGGCAUGCCUUACACAUGCAAGUCGAACGGCAGCGGACCUUCGGGUGCCGGCGAGUGGCGAACGGGUGAGUAAUAUAUCGGAACGUACCUUUCAGUGGGGGAUAACGUAGCGAAAGUUACGCUAAUACCGCAUAUUCUGUGAGCAGGUAAGCAGGGGAUCGCAAGACCUUGCGCUGAUUGAGCGGCCGAUAUCAGAUUAGCUAGUUGGUGAGGUAAAGGCUCACCAAGGCGACGAUCUGUAGCGGGUCUGAGAGGAUGAUCCGCCACACUGGAACUGAGACACGGUCCAGACUCCUACGGGAGGCAGCAGUGGGGAAUUUUGGACAAUGGGCGCAAGCCUGAUCCAGCCAUGCCGCGUGAGUGAAGAAGGCCUUCGGGUUGUAAAGCUCUUUCGGCCGGGAAGAAAUCGCACAGGUUAAUACCCUGUGUGGAUGACGGUACCGGAAUAAGAAGCACCGGCUAACUACGUG